GGUUUGGGCCGACAGUUGUCGUAUAACUACCUGCUGGGCGCGCGGGCAACUCGGCUCCGGCCACUGCGCACGCUCCCCAGGUGGGCCGGCUGCGGACGCUGGAAGGGAGGUGGCGACUGACGGAGCUGGGUGAAGGUGGUUUCACUCCCUGGAGGCACUGCUCUAUGAGAUAGAGCUACAGAAUGAAAUUUGUACUACGAAAUCGUCUGCUUCAGCCCCUGGUGAUUGGAUCCAAGGCAGCAGUCUGUCAACAACUGUGGCAUCCAGCUGGUCAGAAAGACUUGAGGAUUUGACAUUUUGUGGCUGUUCUCUAGAACCAAAGAAAUGAGAACCUCUUGGUAAAAUCUGCUGGUCCAGGAGUUCUUAUCUCCUGGAUUAUCUGCCAAACAAAUUAUCUGCCAAAAUUACAAUGUAAAACUGAAGAAAACAAUCGAUAACUUGGUUAAAAUUUUGGAAAAAUACAAAGAAACUGUGACUGGGGAGAAAUGGUGAGGGAAAUUUUCUCAUUGAAAUAGAAGAUCAGGAGGGCUAAAGGGAGCCCUCGUGCCAUCAGCCAAAAUCUCUGUUAAAUUCCAAACAUAAAAUACGUUUUCUCACUGUUAAAAGAUCUAAGCAGUCUCCGCUAGCAGCCCCCGUCCUGGACAUGGGAGCACUGCCCUGGCUGGCCAUCAGGUGCUCCCAUAAGCAUUGUUCAGACAGCGAGGGGGGCAGUUGAGGAUUCGGGGGCAGGAGAUGGGGUGGUGGAGAGAAGGAUGUAACCAUUUAAAGUCCAUUUUCCCUGCUGAAGCUACCCAUGGAACUUUUAAAUUGGGUGCAGAUUUAAAAAUUAAUACAAAAUAUUUGAAUAAUCAGGGAUGUAUCAAAUGUCCAUAAAGUACAGCUCCAACUAGGAAUGCCCAAGGAAUUGUUCCUUCCAUUUAAUUGUCCUCUGUGUCUAUCAAAAAGACAGCCACUCGCAUGCCUCUUCCAAACAGUCAAAUACCAUCCUGAGCUCUCAUGGAAAAUCUCAAGAGGCUUAUUGGUUUACUAAUUCUAAACCUGUGUUUGCUCAAAGGAUAGUGUCAACUACAAUUUUUCAUUUGCUUUGGUAUUCCAUUUAUUUUUCUUUACAGCUUUGGGAGAUGUGUAUUAUACUUCUAUUCUUUUAAUGACUAUCUUGGAAAUUGUUUGUAUAUACUUAACAGUCUACAGUUAAGGACUAUUUACCAUCCUUCUGAAUAACACAAAGAUUUUAGGACAGUGGUCCCCAGCCUUUUUGGCACCAGGGACCAGUUUUUCCAUGGACCAGGGUGCAGGGGGAUGGUUUCAGGAUGAUUCCAGCACAUUACACUUAUUGGACACUCUAUUUCUAUUAUUAUUACACUGUAAUAUAUAAUGAAAUAAUUAUACAACUCGCCAUCAUAUAGAAUCAGUGGGUGUCCUGAGCUUGUUUUCCUGCAACUGGAUAGUCCUAUCUGGGGGUGAUGGGAGACAGUGACAGAUCAUCAGGCAUUAGAUUCUCAUAAGGAGCGUGUAACCUAGAUCCCUCGCAUGCACAGUUCACAGUAGGGUUCACACUCCUAUGAGAAUCUAAUGCCACCGCUGAUCUGAUGGGAGGUGGAGCUCAGGUGGUAAUGUGAGCAGUGGGGAGUGGCUGUAAAUACAGAUGAAGUUUCACUCAUUUGCCCGCCCGCAGCUCCUAACUCCGGCUGUGCAGCCCAGUUCCUAACAUAUCCGUUGGUGGCCCAGGGGUUGGAGACCUUGUCUUAGAAUGGUUUACCUCCAUUGAUCACUGCUUCUAGCUUGUGUGCUACUGGGAUACAAUAUUUUGAAUCAAUCUCUAUUUUUAACCUCACAGAUUGUGUAAUUAUCAGUAUCUGCUUGAUAUGUAUUUAGAUUAGUCACAUGUUUACCAUUUUGUUUAGUUGCCAAACUUCCUUGCAUUUCACACUUUCUGUCUGGGAGUGUCUCAUUCUUCCUGAAGUACAUCAUUUAAAUGUGCCUUUAAGUUUGGUGGCAAGCAGUCUCAACUUCUGUUUAUCUCAAAGUGCCUUUAUUCUACUUCAUUUUUGGUAGUUUCACUGGAUUUGUGAUUUUUAAAUCUAUAAUUAUUUUCUAGCACAUUGAAGAUAUUUCACUUUCUUCCAUGUUCCAUUGUUAUUAAAAAGACUCCUGUCAGCCUUAUUGACAUUCUUUUGUAGAUAAUCUGUUUUUUUACUAUUUCAUCUAUGUAUGAAUUUAGUCUAUUUAUGAAUUUCAUCUAUGUAUUUCAUCAUGUAUGAAUUUAAUUUAUUUCUCUUGCUUGAUAUAUUAUAGUGCUUCCUGAACUCUGAAAAAUUCUUGGCCAUUAUUUCUUAGUCUAUUAAAUAUUCUUUAAAUACUGCUGUCUUGCUGUUACUCUACUAUUUAAUUCUGAAACUUAAAAUGGAUAUAUGUUGGACUUUAUUUUGCAUUUUCUUAACUUCUCUUGCAUAUUUUUAAUUUGUCUUUCUGUUAUGUGUCCUGAGCAAUGUCUUUGGAUAUAAUUUCCAGUUUACAAAUUCUCUUUUGAGCUGUGUCUAAUUUGUUAUUUUUAAAAUUUUUUUCAGAGACAGGAUCUUGCUCUGUUGCCAAGGCUGUAGAACAGUGGUGCCAUCAUAGCACACUGCAACCUCUAAUUGGCAGAUUACGUUUUCAUAAAAUGUUUUUUAUCUUUGGCCAUUUAAAAAUUUGGGAGUUUAUCUCUCCUCUCCUUUCCUUCCUUCUCUUUCUUUCUUUUUCUUUCUUCCUCUUUCUUUCUUCUUUUCCUUCCUUCCUUCCUUCCUUCCUUCCUUCUUCCUCCUUCCUUCUUCCUUCUUUCCAUGAGAUCUUGCUAUGUUGGCUAGGCUUACCACCUAUUUACUUACUACCACUGCAUAAGUCACUUAUCUCUCUGUCCAUUUUUAUUGUCUGAAGCUUGAUGUCAACUAGAUUUCUCAGGAAAGACUCACAGCAGUAAUAGUCCCUGAGUUCUGGCAUGUUGAUAGCAGUUUGUCUUUUAUUAAUUAAAUAUAAAAUUCUUGUUUCAUAUAUUUUUUCCUUGAGUAUGUUAAUUAUUAUAUGUUAUUUUAAUAUUGUAUAUUGUAAUAGCAUAUAAUAACAUACAGUGUUUGUAUUAUUUAGUUGUAUAUAUUUGUAUUAUUGUAUGUUUGUAUUCCGUAUGUUUUGUAUAUAAAUAUUGUCCGUUAAAUAAGUAAUAUGUUAUUUCAUUUUCUUAUAACAUAAAGCAUUGCUGUCGACAAGCGUGAUGAUAAUUUAUUUUUUUCCUUAUACUUUACACACUUGUUUGGGAUAUCUUUUAUAGACUGAACUGCAUCCUCCCCAAAUUUAUAAGUUGAAACUCUAAUCCCUAGUGUGACUGUAUGUGAAGACAGAGCUUUUAAGGAGGUAAUUAAGGCCAUAAGAGGGGCUGGUAAUAUAAUACGAUUGGUGUCCUUAAAAGAAAAGGAAGAGACACCAGGAAUGCAGGUGCGCAGGAAAGGCCAUAUGAGGACAGGAUGAGACGGCCCUUUGCAGCCAAGGAGAGAGGCUGUAGAAGAAAUCAUCCCUGCCAACACCUUGAUCUUGGACUUCCAGCCUUCAGAACUCUUCUGCAGAUGGCCACCCCUCUCUGCAACUGGUUCCUUAUCGAGGCAAUGGAAAUGUGGACUGUGGUGAGUCUGAUCAAGCCUCACGUAUCUAUUGAAUCAGGAAGCCCGAAGGCCUGAGGCCUCCCGAGUGGCCCCAUGGGAGCGUCGUGCAUUUCUCUGAUAUGGAGUUGUUGGUCUUGAGAUACAGACCGUGCGGGAACAAAAGGCUUGCGGGUGGACUGUGGUGCCAGGAUGCUGCAGUGUCAGGGGAAGAGCUGUCGUUUUAGUGCCCACCUUCCUUUCCCUCCUCUGGCCAAAAAAUACUAAUAAUAAGAAAGAAACGGAAAGAAAAGAAACUUCUCAGAGAGGUUCCCAGUGGCUAAAAAAGACUCCUGGUUCUCCACCCCUGUGAGUUCACGACAUCUGCAAAACAAGACUGUUAAGCUACAGAAACAAUAUAAAGGGCCCGAUGACGAUGCUGGCCUGGCGGGGGACUUGGCUGACCCGGCCUCCACACAGGUGGACUAGUUCACAGAGCUUGGCCACUGGGGGGCUGCUGGCAGGCGAGACAAACAUCACUGGCUGGUCGGCAAAGAGGGUUCCGCGAUACGGCCCUGCAGACAAGUGGCACUCACUUCGGCACAGCUGUGGGGCAGACAGAGAGAGAAUUACGGAGGUGGGACCACUCCAGUCUCCAUAGCCAUAAUAAAUACCGAGCCUCAGCAGCUUUCAUGUGACUUGCAGGAGACAGUGGCAGCAGGGGCAAAUGAUUCUUCCUGGACGGUGACUUUAACAAAGACUUCUUCUGGGGACACCAACCUCCACCUGGCCAUGUGUUCAAGCCCAAGGAGAAGUCCCAGCAUUGGUCCGAGCUAAUCCCGGUGAUCGCAAUGCAAAUGACUGCACUAAGCAUGGCACAGCUGGCCUCAAUCCUGGCCAAUGUGACCUGGGAAUCAAUCGCUGGUGGGAUUCUGGGGGAGUUUUCUCACUAUUAUAAACAGAUGCAUAAGCAGAAAUACUUCUGUUUGCUGGUCACUGUCAUGUCUAAUGCGAUGCCUGGAUCACUGAAACCCCCAGAGGCCAUGGGACACGCUGAAAAUGGCCCAGUGGGAAGGCGGAAAGCCCUGGGUCCUGAAAAACACUUGUAAGUCACUGACAGACCAAACUGAAAUCAUCCUUUAUUUUGUCCUUUUUAUGUCAGAAAAAAAACCCCUAAAUUCUUUAAGUGACUUUUUUGUUAAGUUUUUGUUUCUAGAACCCCAAAGUAUCCUAAUAAUAAUAAUUUUAAAUAAUCCACCUAUUUUUGGAAAUAUCUUGUUCAUCACUGAGAUUAUGAAUAAUAGAUCAGUUCUCACCCCUGCCUCCCCCGCCAUUUACCAGAGUUAACAACUGUGAAGAAUUCUCUGUGUAUUUUUAAAAAUUCUGUAAAAUGCACACACAACACACACAUACACAUUUAUGAUAAUGGUUGUUCUUAACCAAAAAAUGAGAUCAAAUCUCUAUCUCACUAUAUGGAUAAGCAGUAACUAAACCUUUUUGUAAUGCAGUAAAAAAGGAGUCAACCUCUCGAAUGUUUAGGAUGGGACUUCAGUAGCUAGUUUCUUUGUGCCGUGACAUUGCCUUCAGAAUUCUGAUCUUGGCCAAUUUUCCUAUCCAGCAAAUAAAGCACAUUUCCCCAACACUGGUACAUUUUAAAAAGUUAGUUGUGAAUUACAAGCUGCAAACCUUAGCUGCAGCAGGUGGUGUUCUCACUGUGUCACCACUGGCUCUCGCCAGGGAGCCUACGUGUUACCUGGAGAUCAAGGUGAAAAGCCUCAAAGGCACAAAUUCUGAAGUCAACUUGCUGUUGAUUAUUUUCAUGGAUUUUUCAACACCCUUGGUAACCGCAAUUUACAGCAAUGUGCUCUAAACUCUAACUUCAGCUGGGCAAAGUGGCUAACACCUGUAAUCCCAGCACUUUGGGAGGCUGAGGUAGUUGGAUUGCUUAAGCCCAGGAAUUUGAGACCAGCCUGGGCAACAUAGGGAGACCCCGUCUAGAUAGAUAGAUAGAUAGAUAGAUAGAUAGAUAGAUAGAUAGAUAGAUAGAUAGAUAAUAGAUAGAUAGACAGACAGACAGAUAGAUAGAUAGAUAAGCAAGCCCGGUGUGGUGUCACAUGCCUAUAGUUCCCACUACUUGGGAGGCUGAGGUGGGAGGAUCACUUGAGCCCAGCAGGUUGAGGCUGCAGUGAACUGUGAUUGUGACCCUGCACUCCAGCCUGGGCGAGAGAGUGAGACCCUGUCUCAAAACAAUACAACUCCCCACCCCCAACAAAAACCAAUGAUUCUAAUUUCACUGCAAACCUUUACACACACAUACACACAUACACACACAGAUGCAUGCACACACCCCAGAAACAGGAGUGCGUGCAGGACAUGCGGAGGGGACAGGUGUAAGUUGGGGAACGAUGGCUGGGUGGCGUCGUGAUGUUUUAUUUUUGUUGUUACCUCAAUGAAAACCUCAGAGAUAACCAGGCUCAUCUAUUUAUAUAUUGACCCAGGACUUUCUAGCUAAAAAAAGUUAAAAGAUAAUUUUUUAACAACCAUAACUUUCGGGAAGCUGAGGCAGAAGAAUGGCGUGAACCCGGGAGGAGAAGCUUGCAGUGAGCCGAGAUCAUGUCACUGUACUCCAGCCUGGGCGAUAGAACGAGACUCCAUCUCAAAAAAAAAACAAAAAACAAAAAAAAAAAACACACAAACACCCCCCGCCCCCCACAAAAAAAAAACCCAUAACUUUCAUACAGGUAUAAAAUAAACACAGUGUAUUCAUUUUACUUAACUCAGAUGCUAUAACUGGUUCAAAGGACAAUCCGAAGAACACAUCUAUUGAUUAGGAAUACUGAAAUAAACUUGCUAAUGGACAAAAAAAGUUGGCUUCCCUGCAAGGUAAGAAGCACUCCCUCCACCAGACAGAAUUCAUUUCCUGCCCAUAGACAAGCGUGUUUGCACUGCCAGCAGCUAUUUACAACUUAUGAAGCUGUAAAACAGCUCCCAAGCAAUGAAGGCUGCAAGCAGAUAAGCUGGCAGGCCGUGAGCAGGCCUCAAAUGGAGUUUUUCAGUGAAGCACAAAUGUUCCCCUACAGAACCCAAGAUCUCUCUUUAAAAGAAAUCAUGAAAGAAGAGGGGAUUACGUGGAGCUUAUGGACUGCUCCAGGGUUAAGUCCUCCAAAAUAAACAACAGGACCGCUCAGUAGUCAGAGUGAAUUUUGGGUGGGGUUUGAAAGAGUUCCUGCUUUCCUCUGCUAAUGGUGACAUAAAAUGUUCAUUUCAUACCCAUGGAUAUACACUGAUGCGUACAUGUAAGUUGAGGAGGCAGUGGCAGAAGCCAGAAGCCUUUCUCUGCCAUGAGCUCCUCCUAGGAGCCCUGGGUUGCAGAGGGUGAGGACUGCUAGGAAAGUCUGUCAGUUAGGGCUGAAGGGACAUUAGCUUUGCUUUAAAACACAUUGGCUGUGCUUACGUUUGUGUCUUCAUCUGGUUUAAUGGGUUUGAGCUCACACUCUCCAAAUCUAUUUACCUCCAAGCCAGUUAAGGCAGACUGUGUUGUUGACAAAGCUAAGCAGAACAGAAUUUCCCCAUGGCUUCUAGCUUCAAGGAAUCCCAGCUAUUUAUCCAUCACCAAGAAAUGAAGCCCCAUGGGUGGGUGAUGGUUCAUUUACUCCAGCCCAGGGUGUUGGAUUUCAAUUAGUGCAUUUGCUUUUCCCUCUAGGUACAGCUCACCCUUUAAAGUUACUCCUUGGCUUUAAGAUGCACUUUCCCGUCUCAACAACAAUACAGGACGUGUCUUACAGGGCUGUAGUUCUCAUUCACAGCAUUCUUCCUCUGAGUGGUCCAGAAAACACUCGCGGGCCUUACAGUCAAGGCACCUUAGAUUUAAAGUAUGGAAUACGUGAAAACUUCCUAACUGGUAAAGCGCUCAGUAAUGCAAGCUCUGGGUGCAACUCAGUGGUUCUUAGCAUAGUCAGAGUUAUGCAAUCAUCAGCACAAUCUACUCACACCCUCCUCAAGGUAUUAAAUAAAUAUUUCAGAAUCCACAAUGCGGCCAAUCUCAUUAAUAACUUUAUUGAAUCCUGUAGCCCAGCACUCAGGGUCCUCUAAAACCCUGCCCUGCUUUCCCCUCCAAUCGCAGUGCCCACUGUCUCUUUUAAAUAGACUCUGUCCUCAUCAAGCCUGUUCUCUGUCCCCCAAAUAUGCCAUAUCAUUCCUCAAUGCAUGCAUUUUUUCCCCCAGUUCCCUACAGUCUUAUAAUUAGUGGUUACACUAAUCUAUAUGUGUGUUAAAACUCAUAGAAUUGUAUACAAAAAAGUCAACUGUACUGUGUACAUACAUUUAAAAGAUAAAAUAAAAUGUGUCCUUUUAAUGCUUA
Long non-coding RNA from Symphalangus syndactylus (siamang), 7965 nucleotides. RefSeq lists it as uncharacterized. The record is from RefSeq and is a predicted model, not a curated record. NCBI's taxonomy places the organism in Eukaryota, Metazoa, Chordata, Mammalia, Primates, Hylobatidae.